AGAGUUUGAUCCUGGCUCAGGAUGAACGCUGGCGGCGUGCUUAACACAUGCAAGUCGAGGGACACCGCCGAGCGAAUUUCGCUUUGAUCCACCGGCGACCAGUGCACGGGUGACUGACGCAGUCUGCCACCUGCCCUCUGCCCAGGGACGGGGGAGAAAAAUUCCGACCAGUACGCUCAAUAACACAUAGCACUGCACCGGAGUGGAUCGGUGUGGUCCUGGGAGCAAUCCUCCAGAGGAUGGGCAUGCGGCCGCAUUAGGAUAAUUGGGGGUGUGAGCGGACCACGCCCCCAACAAUGCGUUCGGGUUCCGACAUGAAAGGCCCCCACACUGCUUCGGAGACUCAGACCAGACCUCCUACCCGCACGGGAGGCGAGGAGGGGAGUCAGGGGCGAGAGGCUGAACCGAUCCAGCCACGCGAGCGGAAGACGAGCCAUAAGGGUUGUAAACGUCCUUUGUCGGGGAGCAAAGAAAGCGUACGUGUAGAAUAAUGAGAGUACCUGAAGAAAAAGCAUCGGCUAACUCCGUGCCAGCAGCCGCGGUAAUACGGAGGAGGCAAGCGUUAUCCGGAUUUAUUGGGUUUAAAGGGUGCGCAGGCGGAACGGAAAGUCAGGGGUAAAAUCCCGGGGCUCAACCCCGUGGAGCCGUUGAAACUGUCGUUUUUGGAGUGGGGGAAGAAGUAAACGGAAUUCCUGGUGUAGGCGGUGAAAAUGCACAGAAUAUCAGGAAGAACUCCGCUGGCGAAGGCGGCAUACCGGCGCGCGACUGACGCUCAGGCACGAAAGCGUGGGUGUGCAACAGGAUUAGAUACCCUGGUAGUCCACGCCGUAAACGAUGAAUACCAAUUGUUGGGGUGGAAGGAGGCCUGGGUGAUCCAGCAAAAGAGUUAGUAAUUCCACUUGGGGAGUAGUUCGCCAGAGGGGAAAUUCAAAGGAAUUAAGGGGGGCCGCCCCAGGCGGAGGGCCAGGUGUUUUAUUUGAGAGCGAUACGAGAGGACCUUUACCGGCGUUCACAAUCGACCCGGGAGCAUGUUGGAAAGCAGGUAGCCAUCAAGGCGCCAGUGUAGAGGUGGUGCAUGGUUGUCGUCAGCUCGUGUCGGGAGGUGUGGGUUUAAUUCCCAUAAGGAGGGCAACCCUGUUCUUCAGAUGCUGCGAGGUGAACCGGAGCGACUCUGGGGAGACUGCCGGGGACAAGCCCGGAGGAAGGCGGGGAUGACGUCAAAUCAUCACGCCCCUUAUGUCCGGGGCGACACACGUGUUACAAUGGCGCGGUACAGAGGGGAAGCCACCUGGCGACAGGGAGAGGCCCCGAAAACGUGUCUCCGUUUGGGUUGGCGUCUGCAAAUCGGGUCCAUGAAAUCGGAUUUGGUAGUAAUUGCGCAUCAACCACGGCGCGGUGAAUACGUUCCCGGGCCUUGCACUCACCGCCCGUCAAG
This 1435-nucleotide ribosomal RNA is filed under the name uncultured bacterium. Its description in RNAcentral is "partial 16S ribosomal RNA". It matches the Rfam family "Bacterial small subunit ribosomal RNA". The record is from RNAcentral.